Lycium barbarum (goji berry) is the source of this 867-nucleotide long non-coding RNA. RefSeq lists it as uncharacterized. The record is from RefSeq and is a predicted model, not a curated record. The transcript has 3 exons. NCBI's taxonomy places the organism in Eukaryota, Viridiplantae, Streptophyta, Magnoliopsida, Solanales, Solanaceae.
UAUAGAUAAUUGAAUUAGCUUUCCAACCAUAGGUCGUGGGUUCCUAGGUGACGUCGGUACAAGGAGAUAUGGACGUUUUAAGGUCGAAAGGUCAGUGGGCUAUGCCCAACUCGGGACCAACCGAGUUGGCCCAAAAAAAUGAAAAGAAAAAUUUAGGCCCAAGGUGAGAGGGUGGCCGGCCAUACCUGGUCCAAGCCCACCAAAUUAAUUAAUUUCCAUGUGACAAAUUAAUUAUAAAGGGAUCAUUAUCCCUUAGAUGAUUCAAGAAACUUAGAAGGAGAAAGAACAAACAAAACAAGAGCAAAAAAAAGGACCAUUUCGGGUUUGGCCAUAGAAAAUUCAACCCUCCAAAUCUUGCUUCAAAAAUUAUUUUCUUGUGGUAUUCCUACUAAUUCAAGGGUCCUUUACAACUUGGUGUAGUUGUUUUGGAAGAAGGAACACUUAUUUCUUCAAGUUGACAACUUGUUCAAGUGAAGAAGUUUGUAGAAAAAGAUUUCGGGCGAAACGGGAAUUGAAUUCGAAAAGGCGUAAAGACCAUAUAAGGUACAGACGACAGGUUCGCUGAUCCAUCUGUUUAGGAUCCCACUUCUGCUAUUUUGGGGCGCUCUCUUCUUCAGAGCCCACUUUUUGGUACAGUCUGUCACUGCUAUCUGGAUAUGUACAUUGUUCUGGGUAUGACGGGGCCCUGUCCCGUCUUAUGAUUAUGUUAUGUUCUGUAGAGGUCUGUGGAUAUAUCUGUAUGGGUUCUGUACAUAUGUUUGGGAUACUUUGUCCUAUGAUGGCCUUAUCGGCCUAUGUGUGCCAAGUCUGCUUUUUAUGCUAAAUUCUGUAGCGUCCACUAAUAUUAUUAUUAUAUUAUUUUGUUAA